UCCAGCAGCUGCUUAUUGAGGGAGGCUUUCGGCCCCAGAUCCUGGUGGUUGGGAAACAGCCAGGGACACGAUCAGACAUGACUCCUGCCCUAAGGGAGCUUGGAGUCCAGGAGGAGGACUGGGAAUACGGGAGUAUGAGUGUCUCAGUGUAAGGACUGAGCGCUCAGAGUAUGCUGAGACUGCACUACCGCAGGCAUGGCCUUGCUGGGACAAAUGCAAAUGGGAUGAGUUGAUGGCAAAGGACCACCCAGAGCAGGACAGUGCUGUGCCUGCCAUUUGGGGGCCCUUCCUGGCUGGGGACUCAGACCGCGAGGUCACUGCUGGGCUGCUCCCUCCACUCCCGUCUGUGCUCCAAACACAGCCCAGCCCUCUGUGGCAGAAGGAUCGAGGAACGGAGCAGGAAGAGCGACCUGCAGGGAAACAGUGACGCCAGGAGCCUUCAGAUGGCUGACAGCACUGUCCACCACACACUGUCCACCACAGCCUCACCAGCCUCAGGCUUGGGCUCCAAAUUUCAGCACAGUGGUCAUUGUCACUGAUGUGCCACCACCUGGCCAUGACCAGUACCUCAGCACGGUGGCCAUUGUCGCAGACAUGCCACCACCCUACCAUGACGGGUGUCUCAGAAUGGUGACCAUCAUCACAGACGUGCCACCACUUCAGCAUGACCAACAUCUCACCAUGACGACCACUGUCCCAGGCAUGUCACCAGCUCACGAUGGCCCAUAUCUCACCAUGGUGACCACUGUCACAGACGUGCUACCACCCUACCAAGACCAGUAUUUCAGCAUGGCGACCACUGUCCAGACGUGUCACCAUCCCACCACCCGUAUCUCAGUCAUGAAUGGAAAGAAAUGGGAAUAAUCAGACCAAACAAAGGGCCAGAGGUCCAUGACCACGAUCUAUAUCAUCCCUCCCACCCCCUUCCAUGCUCAAUAGCCAUCAUUUAAAAAUAACCACGAGAGAAUCACCCAUAACUCGCGUCCUGCCUGCCCCACAGGACACACCUCCCCUCCUGAGCAUGUCUCAGCUCUGUGUGACACUAGCUCAUUACCCAAGAGGUGGAAUCUUGACCCCCUGGGAAGCCACACGCAAUGUUCAAGGAAGGCUCCGGGAGCGGCCA
Molecule: long non-coding RNA, 1123 nt
Organism: Nycticebus coucang (slow loris)
Lineage: Eukaryota; Metazoa; Chordata; Mammalia; Primates; Lorisidae
Exons: 3
Source: RefSeq, a predicted model, not a curated record